Molecule: long non-coding RNA, 3075 nt
Organism: Oxyura jamaicensis (ruddy duck)
Lineage: Eukaryota; Metazoa; Chordata; Aves; Anseriformes; Anatidae
Exons: 4
Source: RefSeq, a predicted model, not a curated record
UACAGUGAGAUUAGCUGCAAGCUAAUGUAUAACCAGAAUAAAUGAAAGCACACAGGAAAGAGGAUCACUUUGCAUCGCUCACAGCAGCUUGGAAGGCUGCCGAGAAAGAAGCGGCGGGGAACUUUGGGGGAGCACACAGCUGGCACAGUGUCCCUGUGCUACCUGCCUCUCUGGCCUUCCCUCUGCUAGGGGGCACAUCAGAAUAGGUGCGAGAAGGUAUUUCCAGGUUCCCAGCAGCGCUGCACCAUGGGCAACUGUGAGAAACGGGUGUUUGGAAGCACAGGAGGGAAGUGUGCGUGCUGUUUUGUGGCAGGCCUCCAGGAGAGUGCUCAGACAGAGGGCCCUUGGCGAGGCAGGACCCAUGUGCUGCUGCCCCGGGGGUGCCCCACAGGUAACCCCCACCCCACCCCCUGGCAGCAAGUACCCGCGGGCUGGCCUCAACCUUGAAUGUCAGCAGCACAAGUGGACCUGGGCAAGAGGUUCCCACGUGAAGGAAAAUGCAGGAAAAACAUAAUCAGACACUGCUCCGGCUGGGCCAGCACUCUUUGAAGUCGCCAGAAAGACCGGGGAUGGGCUGGGGCUCCUGGAGCAGCCCCUUUGAUCUGCGUGGCGGUGUCACUGGAUGAGCCCCUGCAUGACUUGUGUCGCCAGAAACUUCCAGCACCUCCCGUGGCCGCCGGCAGCUCCCCCUCCCUCAGUGGCUCCUCCAAGCACUGUGGGGCCCCACAGUGAGGACGUAAUUAGGUUCUCUCCAGUCGUGGUCCCUCGCCCCCAGCAGGAUGGGAUGGGUGCCACCAGCAAAAGUCACCGCCGUGCGAUCUUCUGGGGUGAUCAGUGCUGCAGCAAAGCCCGCUGAACUUCUCACCUCUGUGGCUGCCCGCAUUCAGGAACCAGGGCACCACCGUGCUUUUUUGCACAUUGCACUACUGGGGAUCUGACCGAGGGGCUUGUUUCCAGCACUGGGGAACAUAAAAAGAGAGAUCAAUAUUGUGAAGGUUAAAGCAGUCUUCAAAGGCCAGAAACUCAGCGGCUUUAGAUCAAUGCGGCAGUAUUCACUGCAGGAAAGCAGAGCAAAGUUACGUCGGUUUAGUAUCUGGACCGAAAACAAUUCAAAUCAUAGAGUCACAGAAACGAGAUGGAAAAGAAUGAUUAGAUCAUCUCCUCUGUCCCUCGGGGCAGGGCAGCCAGGCUAUACUGAGUGCUUUGUGCUGCGGUCAGUGAAGCUGCGGCUGGUUCAGGCUCUGCUAAGGCUUUCCAUUUCUGUUUUCCUAGUGCUUCUGUUCUUUGACAAAUGUAUUUUGAGUGAAUAAUUUAUGCCUGGGAUAUUUAAAGAACAGAAACCUAAAUCCUCUAUUUACUGAGUUCACGCAGAGCUAGCUUUGAAGGAAACAGCUGCAAUGCCUCAUUUCCCAUUGCCUCCCCUCUGCUGACCUGCUCAGGACCUUCACCCCAGCCCAGGGAGAUCAUCCUCCCCGGGGGAAGCGGCUAUUAGAGGAGUAGCCAAAAUCAUUCACAAAUGACGGUGUUAAAAGCGGUCUGUUCAACACGGUAGGAGUCCAGGGGCUCCAAAUAAUGCUGUCUGAUGCCAUCUGGUGAAUCCACAGGGGAUGGGUAAACAAUACCAAACUGAUUUCCCUGCCUACCAGAAGAACUUGGCUUGCAUUCACAUUCCCUUGGAGGUAAAUCAUUAUUAUUCUGAUUGCUAGCUCAGAUUCCACGAAGAGCAGAAGGAAAGGAAGGGAAGCAAUAAAGGGACCUCCUUUUGCGCCAUGGAUGCAGUGGAGAUCACACAGACAAGACCCACUGCUGCUGGCAGGUCUGAACGCAGUGUCUCCUGCAAGCCCUGCUCCUCCACGGCCAGGCCAGCACGUCCCAGACAGACCAGAAACGUGCAGGUGCAGAAGGGCUCUGCGCUGGUGACAGACCCCGUGUCGGAUAGGGCCCAGCAGUGGCACGCCACCAGCCCUGCUCUCAGCAAGUGUGCAAGAGCACUUCUCCAGGCCCGCUGCCCGAAGCAGCGGAUGACAGAUUGCUGCUGAGCACAGUCGUCUGCCGUCAGAAGGAAAAGGGUUGUCAGGCAUGUCCUAUUUAGGGGAAGAAAAAUGCAGUGCCUAUAGACAGAGGGACUGUGUGAGUCAUUAUGAGAGAUGAAGAAGGAAACAAAAAUAAUGUUCCUUAAACUUCGUGUCAUGUCACUGCGAGGGGGGGAAGGACACGGCGCCCUUGCAGGGUCUAGGCAAGCGUCUACAGGACUAUUUUGGGGACAAGAACUGCAGGCACCAUCCUGGAGGGCAAACCCUAGGGAGAUGUGGGCACAGCCAGUAAAUUGCUGGGAAGGGGAAGUCUCUUCAGUGAAUGAAACAAAGUGCUCAGAAUGUGGGAGUUUUUUGGAAAACCCAGGGGAUAACAGGAAUAAUGAGGAUGUGUGUGGCAGCAGGCCUGGGGCCCAGCAUGAAGCAUGGGGGGUAGCAGCUGGGACCAGAACUGGGUUGGGAUAAGGAUCAGAAUCAGGAUCGGGAUCAUGUGAGGAUCAUGUGGGGACCGGGUCCCUGCUUCCCCGGCUGCCCCACAGGGAGCCAGUCCAGGCAGGUCCUGCAAAGGGCGAGGAGAGAGCCUGUCUUCCACUCCUGCCUCUUGUUUGUUUUUAAACACCGGCUGCAUUUCCCAGCGAUUAUACUCAGGUUUGUACUCAUUACCAGAAGUUAGCGCAGUACCUUUGCUGUGAAGCUUGUGGAUUCGUAACUCACCAGCACAGCAGACGCUUCCUUAGCCAGAGGGUGUUUGGUUUGUGCAAUUCGUUAUAGGAAAUCUCCCUGGAUUUUCCCAGGUUUUGUGUGCUUUUUGUUUUACCGGUGGUUGCACUCAGCACUUCAAACCCUUCUUUGCUUUUGAUAUGUUUCUGUGGCUUUGCUCCACGGCACUCAAAGGCCAGCUGGGAGACAAAGGGAACCUCUGAGAUCAAAACGUUUUCAGCCAGCACAGCAGCUUACAUGCCAUGCAGCCCAGCUACAGGCUCGGUGAGAAGAAAAAUCUGUUUCUGAAAAUUCUGUAAGAGAAUUAAAUGGUUAAGGAUGU